AACGAACGCUGGCGGCAUGCCUAACACAUGCAAGUCGAACGAAACCUUCGGGUCUUGUGGCGCCCGGGUGCGUCACGCGUGGGAACCUGCCCUUAGGUUCGGCAUAACUCCCCGACAGGGGUGCUAAUACCGGAUCAUGUCUUCGGCCCAAAGAUUUAUCGCCUUUGGUUGGGCCCGCGUUGGAUUCGCUAGUUGGUAGGGUAAAAGCCUACCAAGGCGACGAUCCAUAGCUGGUCUGAGAGGAUGAUCAGCCACACUGGGACUGAGACACGGCCCAGACUCCUACGGGAGGCAGCAGUGGGGAAUAUUGGACAAUGGGCGAAAGCCUGAUCCAGCAAUGCCGGGUGAGUGAUGAAGGCCGGAGGGUUGUAAAGCUCUUUUAACCGGGAUGAUAAUGACAGUACCGGGAGAAUAAGCGCCGGCUAACUCCGUG
Molecule: ribosomal RNA, 433 nt
Filed under: uncultured bacterium
Lineage: Bacteria
Description: partial 16S ribosomal RNA
Rfam family: Bacterial small subunit ribosomal RNA
Source: RNAcentral